UUAUAUUAAUUUUUAUCAUUAACAGUACUGUUAUUUACUUUAUAUUUUCACCGUCAGACCUUUGUUUUCACUUUUUAUGCCAGAAAUAAAAGAUGACGUACCAAGUAUUUAACAUAACGCAUUAUUUUAACGCUAUGAUUUCUUUAAUGUUUUACUUUAAUAUCAGCAAAAUUAUUUAUUACUUAUUGCGUUAAGAAGUACCAGCUAAGAUUUAUCUGAGAGCCAGAUGCAGCCACAGGUACCAUAGGACCCCCGGUGUACUGUAUAGUAUUUAAUGUAAUUAUUUUCUGGUGAUAUCUGAAGUAUUUUUAGCCAAACUUGAACGGAGAGCUGUUAAAAAAAGUUGAAUCUUUGAAGGUUUCUAUCUGGUUUCAUCUGAUUGUUUUCCCCCCCCAAAACUAGAAGAACAUUCGUGAUGAAAGUGAAGGUCCUGACCUGGUGCCAAAGACGUCCCUGGACUUUGUCUCUGCUGAUUUAUGAGUGUCGCUCCUUCCUCCUAAAGCUGUUACGCAAGCAACUCAGCAACAUAACAAACAAACAAACGCUGGCCUACUGGGAGUACCAUUUCCACCAGCUGGACAGUGAGGGGCGCUGUGCACAUUGGAAAUCUCAGCCAGUGGCUGCUGUUUGCUCCGGGCAGUGAAAACACAGGGUGGAAGCAUUGAAUCCCGAGCAACAACGACGGCAGCACGGAUCAGCGCACACAACCGAGGAGUAUUCCAUGAAUAAAUAAAGGAAAGCAGCGAUACGACAAGUUGCAGAGAGGCCACGCGGGAUCGUCCCUCUUCUCCAGCAGCAGGUCGACGACGAGGCUUGACUGAAGGAAGACUUGGAGUCUGUCUGUCACAGGUACUGUUUGACAAUACUGGAGGAAAAUACUAUUGUUUCUCACUAUGUUUACAUUUUUUAAAGAACUCUAUCCUCCAUUGUUGUCAGUCCAACAGCGUGGUUAUCAUCUGUGGUUAAUCCAGUGAAAUGAUUAGAUUUAGCACUGUGACCAUGACCAGCCUGUAAUUUUCCUCCUUUUCUCUCUCUCUUAUUUAACAUAAUUACUGGUUGGGCUCCCAGAUGACCAAAAUAAUCAAAGCAAGUGGAGCAGAAAAGACAAAUCAGUGCUUGGUUAGAAAUACACACAGAAUAGUGUAAACUUGUAGUGGACAAAUAACGAGAGGAAAAAAACGAUGGCCACAUCUGCAAGUUUUUGUUUUGUUUUGUUUUUUUCAACCACUGCUGCUGAAGAUUCAACCUCAGUGUGGUUAAAACGUUUACUCAUGCAGUUCAGUGUCUGUUUCUUUUCUGGUAUCACAUCCACACAAUUAAAUAGUAUUUAUCUUAUUGUUCUUUACAUUUCAAUUAGAGGACAAUUACAAACGAAUCAGUGAAAACGUUUAAACUCAUCUUCUUGGACAUGGAAUGUGGUUUACCUGAUUCAGGCCUCACUGUGACACACUUUUCAUUUCAGUAAAUUAAUUUAAUCUGCGCUCAAAUCUCUCUCACUGUUGCACGGCUAGUUUUGCCAGUGCUUUGAAUGUGCUUUUAAUUUUUAUAUAAACAUUUAAUUCUUUGUCGAGAUCGGUCCAGUUUUGCUUAUUGAAAACCCAAUUCAAAUCCCACAUAUGUGACAUCUAAGGAUUCUGAGGUUUGAAGAAACGAUGCGUUCACAUCCCUGCUCUGGAAUAUUGUUUAUUCAGCAGUCAGUAUAGAAUGUUAGAUAAAACAUUUUUGGCACAGUUGCUUGAUAAAGCAGUCCCUUUUUGUGUGCUACUCUAAAUAAAUAUGCAAAACCAUAAUUUACGUCCCAAAUAAAUACAAUAUAAACUACAUUUAAAAAAAAAGAUGCACUGCAUCCACGCACUGCAACUUUUCAAAAACCAAAAAAAAAAAGAAAACCCACAAAAUUCGUUGUACUUCAGGCGAACAUUUGCAAUGGGUUUAAACCAAAUACAGAAAGAAGGUUAACGAUGCUUCAUUAUAGGUUUUAACAGCUUAUUUUCCCUUAAAGAUCUACUAGGCAACACAACACAGAGGCAUGGAACGGGCCAGAAGAAGUAGUACUGAGGGAUACAUAUACUGGAUGGCUGCAAACACAUCUUCCAGCUCAUGUUUCUACUUCAUGAUGAUUACAGGUUAUUAGAAGAGAUCAGAUUACAUUUGAAAUAUUUGCCAAUCGAUCACUGCAGACAACGGUUUGUUGACGAGGGACAAACUGAUCUGAGAUACGACUGAGUGAAUGAAUCAUUCAGGUGGAAUCGACUCAUUAUGUUGGACAGCUGCAGACGCAGGUUAUUUGUAAAGACUUGUAACGAGUGUGAGACUGAGUUUGGAGGAGGAACACACUCUGGUUGUUAAUCUACACGACAUGGAUAAAUACGUCACAGAGUACGAGUGGGUUUUUACACCUGGAGCUACAGAAAGGGAUUUCCUUUGAUCAACAUAUCGGUACCAAGGACACAUCUUUUCACCUGUGUAAUAACACUGCAGUAAGUAACAGUACUGUACGCAAAACCGGUAAGAAGGUAACAGUCAAAGGGUUCAAUGUACGUUCUACAGACCGGGGGUGUCAAACAUAAGGACCGGGGCCCAGUACUGACUCUGCACAUUUUUCAAUCAGGCCCAUAAGUUAUUAAACAAAAAGUUUAAAAUAUAUGUUUAUAUUAUGUUACAAUGUUCAUGUGUACAUUUUUAUAUACUUACAAGAGAGAUAAUUUACUCCCACUUUAUUUUUAUACCACGUCAAAGGUCUGUUCAGGUGGUCGUACUUUUAAUGUACAUUUGGAAAUGUAUCUGCUACAUAUUCAUCUUCUAGUCCUUCAUACUUUUCAGGUGGGGGUUUGUGUGAGGGAGGAUGAAGGGGGGAGGAGGCAGGGUGCUGGAGCCAAUUACAGAAGUCAUAGGUGAGUUCCCGGGGGAGGAGAGGGGGUUACCACCUACACAGUCUAAGGGCAUCACAGCACAACGACACAAUCAACUCACAUUUAUACUAACAGUCUGUUUAGAAUUAAGACGUCAACUAAUCCAUGAUCGACAUGUUUUUCUUAUGAACCUGCAGAACCUGGAACACAAGGGGAGGAGAACAUGUAAGCUCCAGACAGACCAGGGAAUCGAACCAGCC
Molecule: long non-coding RNA, 3112 nt
Organism: Cynoglossus semilaevis (tongue sole)
Lineage: Eukaryota; Metazoa; Chordata; Actinopteri; Pleuronectiformes; Cynoglossidae
Exons: 5
Source: RefSeq, a predicted model, not a curated record